Molecule: long non-coding RNA, 2014 nt
Filed under: Phascolarctos cinereus (koala)
Lineage: Eukaryota; Metazoa; Chordata; Mammalia; Diprotodontia; Phascolarctidae
Description: lncRNA (ENSPCIG00000031514.1)
Source: RNAcentral
CCAAGGUUGUGCCUUGGGGUCUGCGGCCAGGCGGGCUUAGCCUCUUUUUAAAAAAAAAAAAAAGAAAGAAAAAGUGGUCUGUCAAUUUGUGAACAAACCGAACAAUAGAAUCAAAAUGAGUUUGGGAUCAAAGCGGAAGGCUCGGGACUGACCUAAAAUGGUUAGCACCCGGGCAGCUUUGGUGGCCACUCGGGACUCUAGGGGCCAGGAGUACAGAAGCCUCCUCAUGCCUGCCUCUCUAGACAAUUGUGCCCCCAUUCCCCUCUCUAAAAAGGCAAAAACUAAGACUAAAAAUGUUGGCCCAGCAGUUUCUGUGCUUACAAGGACCCGGAAGUUGUCAACUUUCCUAUAGGCUAAAAGGGAUCGGUACCACGUUUUUUCCCCUCAAGUACGAGAGAAUUGGACCAGGCAGCCUGGAACCCACCUGGUCCAAUGUAAUGUGUAUUUCAGGCUGCGGACAAUCGGUGCUGCCGGACUUGAAGCUCCAAUUCCACAUUGCAAGAGAUGCAAAAACUUUCAAUUGCACAAUGAGAGCUGUGGUGUAAGGAGAAACCUGGAACUGAAUGAGAAUCUGGAACCCAGAAAGGAUUUUCUCCAAAUUAGGCCCUCCUCGUUUGCCCAGUGGCUGUGAAACACAGAACCAGCUCCAGCAUCCCUCAUUCCAAGCAGAGACUGCACAUUCCCAGGGAAGAAGACUGAACAAGGACACACAGAUUGGAGAGCAGGGAGAAUGUUCUCUCCUUUUACUAAGGCGCAUAGUGUGUUGGGAUACAUGGACUAGACCCAAGAGCAAGAGAGCAACCUAUUAUAAUCCAAAGAGUGAGCUGCAAAAUGUGGCACAGAGAUAUGGAGCGGUGGCUGAAGGAGAGGGAAGCGCCUGCAGGGCGAACCUCAGCCCCUUGGGCAGAUGCAUUUUCCAGUCUCCUUUGAAUGUCAGAACAAACAGCUCUAAGAUAAUUUCCUGCGUUUGCUCCUUCCUCCUUCCCUCCCCCCCCACCAAGGGCCAGAUCAUGUCUUUCAGGCCCAAGGGAUCUCAAGAAGGGCUUUUGUCAGGUUCUAUCCUAGCAAUAGAGGGGAAUGACCCAAGCCCUGAGUUAUGCCCCUGCACACGUUUCCCACAAAGGCAAAACAGCAGAUAUCCAGCAGGGCUCUCUGGAGUGAGACCCGGAGCUAGGAGUUUAAGCAAAAGGGCAACUCUGUCAGUUGACGGAAGCCAGAAGCAAAGUUCAAAGCCUGGCCUGGAUUUCCAUCUGGAGUGGUCUGUUCCUUAAAAGUUUGCAACUCGGUGCAAAGAAGCAGCCCCAGUGGAGGCUUCAGGAUCAAUGUGAAAGUCUAGCACUACCAUCUGACAGAGAGCUGGAAAACUUUGGGCUGCAUAUUAAGAGAGGAAAGUGGAUUGAAGUGAGAGUCAAGGCAAUUCAUUAUGUUUCCAGCUUCUAAGUGGGAGUGGCAAAAUGCGAACUGGAGUAGUAGAGGAGAAAGUGGAAUGGAGCCUGAAUUGUACUCCACACAUCUUCCUCAGUUACUGUGUACCUGACAAGGCCAGAAAUCCCAAAGGAGCCCGCCAGGAGGUUUAAAGCACACCCAGGGCACUACCAUCUCACAGAUUUAUGCCACAGGACUCAGAGAAGUGACACCUGGGAGCAAAGUCAAGAAACACUCUAAGAAUCCUGAAUUUUAAAAGGCCACAUUUUACUCACAAAAGGAGGGAUUGCUUCUUUGGUAUCUGGUACUAAAACAAGGUGACAAGAUUCUCCUGAAAUUACCACAAAAGGCAUUAUAGUCUAAUACUGCCUGGUAACAAAGCUGAGCCCUUGAAAACAACCUGGCAUUCAGAGCUGCUAAUGGUACUAACAUUCUCACCAACAUAUUCAUGUAUUUUCCAUAGAUACACAUACUAUACAUCCACAUAUGGGGUCCCCAGACAUCUCACUGGUAGCUUUCUGUCUAUUCUUUUAGAAAAGGCAGAGUAAACCCAUUAAUAAAAAACAUGGACUGGAGUUUUAUGAAACCA